RNAcentral lists this ribosomal RNA (277 nucleotides) under Clostridioides difficile. RNAcentral describes it as "partial 23S ribosomal RNA". It matches the Rfam family "Bacterial large subunit ribosomal RNA", at positions 2646 to 2925 of the family's 2925-position model. The record is from RNAcentral. Lineage: Bacteria; Bacillati; Bacillota; Clostridia; Peptostreptococcales; Peptostreptococcaceae.
CGCAGGCGUAGGAAAUUUGAGAAGACCUGUCCUUAGUACGAGAGGACCGGGAUGGACGUACCUCUGGUGUACCAGUUGUCCUGCCAAGGGCAUGGCUGGGUAGCUAUGUACGGAAUGGAUAAGCGCUGAAAGCAUCUAAGCGCGAAGCCAACUUCAAGAUAAGAUUUCCCACCGCAAGGGUAAGACUCCAGAAAGACUAUCUGGUUGAUAGGUCGAAGGUGUAAGUGCAGCAAUGUAUUUAGCUUAUCGAUACUAAUAGGUCGAGGACUUGACCAAU